Molecule: ribosomal RNA, 467 nt
Filed under: uncultured bacterium
Lineage: Bacteria
Description: partial 16S ribosomal RNA
Rfam family: Bacterial small subunit ribosomal RNA
Source: RNAcentral
GACGAACGCUGGCGGCGUGCUUAACACAUGCAAGUCGAACGGAAAGGCCUCUUUCGGGGGGUACUCGAGUGGCGAACGGGUGAGUAACACGUGAGUAACCUGCCCUUGACUUUGGGAUAACUUCAGGAAACUGGGGCUAAUACCGGAUAGGAGCUCCUGCUGCAUGGUGGGGGUUGGAAAGUUUCGGCGGUUGGGGAUGGACUCGCGGCUUAUCAGCUUGUUGUUGGGGUAGUGGCUUACCAAGGCUUUGACGGGUAGCCGGCCUGAGAGGGUGACCGGCCACAUUGGGACUGAGAGACGGCCCAGACUCCUACGGGAGGCAGCAGUGGGGAAUAUUGCACAAUGGGUGGAAGCCUGAUGCAGCAACGCCGUGUGCGGGAUGACGGCCUUCGGGUUGUAAACCGCUUUCGCUCAUGACGAAGCUUUGUGUGACGGUAGUGGGUAAAGAAGCACCGGCUAACUACGUG